CCUACGGGUGGCAGCAGUGAGGAAUAUUGGUCAAUGGACGAGAGUCUGAACCAGCCAUGUAGCGUGAAGGAUGACUGCCCUAUGGGUUGUAAACUUCUUUUAUAUGGGAAUAAAAUGUUCCACGUGUGGGAUUUUGUAUGUACCAUAUGAAUAAGGAUCGGCUAACUCCGUGCCAGCAGCCGCGGUAAUACGGAGGAUCCGAGCGUUAUCCGGAUUUAUUGGGUUUAAAGGGAGCGUAGGUGGAUUGUUAAGUCAGUUGUGAAAGUUUGGGGCUCAACCGUAGAAUUGCAGUUGAAACUGGCAGUCUUGAGUGCAGUAGAGGUAGGCGGAAUUCGUGGUGUAGCGGUGAAAUGCUUAGAUAUCACGAAGAACUCCGAUUGCGAAGGCAGUUCACUGGACUGCAACUGACACUGAGGCUCGAAAGUGUGGGUAUCAAACAGGAUUAGAUACCCGUGUAGUC
RNAcentral lists this ribosomal RNA (460 nucleotides) under uncultured bacterium. RNAcentral describes it as "partial 16S ribosomal RNA". It matches the Rfam family "Bacterial small subunit ribosomal RNA", at positions 338 to 795 of the family's 1533-position model. The record is from RNAcentral.